AGCUUGUGAAAGGCGAAGAAAAAGAACUUAUGGUGCAGGAGGCUUGAGGUUAAAUAGUUCAUCUUUAGGAGCAGUGUUACAAUUGUUGGAAGAUAAAAUAGAUCACAAUGGCGGGACGUGGAAGAGGAAGAGGAAAGCCUACUAUGUCCAUUAGUACAGAACAGCUGGGAUUUUCCAAGGGAGAAGCUCUGCCACCUCCAGUUUUACAGCCUCCACCAAAGUAUCCUCCUCUGGAAUAUAAACCGUUGCCUUUGACCAUCGCGAAAGAAAUGAGUUACUUGUUGGAACUCAAGAGAGAAUUCGCAGAAUAUAUGAGGGAAUCUCCGAAUAAUGUUUUGCCACUAGUAAUUAAAAAGGAUAUUGAAAGAUACUCUGACAGGUAUCAAGAUUUAAUAACAGACAAAAGCACUUAUGAUAUCAGGUAUGAUUGGAGCAGAAUGCCAGCAGAGUUGAAGCCUCAGAUGAAGAAACGCAAAGGACAGAAGAUAUCGAAGCCGAAGAAGAAGAAGAAAAAGAAUGUGGACAUUGACACUAAACUACAGGAGUUAGAAAAGAAGGAGACUACUCAGCAAAGCGAUGUGGAGGAGGAAGAGAAAGAGGAGGAAGAAACGGAAGACAAAGACGAUGAACAGGUCGAGGACGAGGAAGAGGAGCUGGAUGAGGAAAUGGACGAAGGAACGGACUACGUAAACAAUUACUUCGAUAACGGAGAGGGUUACGACGACGAAGAUGAUAAUUUAGAUGAUGGACCUAUUUAUUAACAUAUAAGUUUUUAUAAGAAUUGGAAAUUCAUCUCGCGGUUCUCGAUCACCGGACUAGGAUACUUACAAGCUGCUAGUUGAGCACUGCACGGCAAUGUUAUCUGUUCUUCCCUAAUAAUUCCAUCGAAGAAACUGGCAUCGAACGAUGAACUGAGGCGGAC
Molecule: unclassified non-coding RNA, 922 nt
Filed under: Dufourea novaeangliae
Lineage: Eukaryota; Metazoa; Arthropoda; Insecta; Hymenoptera; Halictidae
Description: dNA-directed RNA polymerase III subunit RPC7-like, transcript variant X1
Source: RNAcentral